CUGCGAGUUCGCGGGAGAGUAAGUUGUUGCCAGGGUUUUUAUUUUAUACUUUAAACAUUGAUUUUAUUUUUUAUGUUUUUAGAUGUUCAUGUUUUUGAAUGUUUUAUGCAAAUAAUAUAAAAAAUAAAAUAUAUUUUGACCUGGAUUAAACAAAGAUAUAUAUUAUUCUAUGUUGUAUAAACAAAUUGGCAAAAUAAAGAUGGAGGAUAAAAAUAUGGUCCAAGUAAUAAGAGUCUAUGGUGAAUGCCUAGGA
RNAcentral lists this unclassified non-coding RNA (253 nucleotides) under Borreliella garinii. Its description in RNAcentral is "partial miscellaneous RNA". Lineage: Bacteria; Pseudomonadati; Spirochaetota; Spirochaetia; Spirochaetales; Borreliaceae. The record is from RNAcentral.